This 426-nucleotide ribosomal RNA is filed under the name uncultured bacterium. RNAcentral's name for it is "bacterial SSU rRNA". It matches the Rfam family "Bacterial small subunit ribosomal RNA", at positions 917 to 1344 of the family's 1533-position model. The record is from RNAcentral.
GGGCCCGCACAAGCGGUGGAGCAUGUGGUUUAAUUCGAUGCAACGCGAAGAACCUUACCAGGGUUUGACAUCCUGCGAAUCUCUUGGAAACAGGAGAGUGCCUUCGGGAACGCAGUGACAGGUGGUGCAUGGCUGUCGUCAGCUCGUGUCGUGAGAUGUUGGGUUAAGUCCCGCAACGAGCGCAACCCACGUCUUUAGUUGCCAGCAUUUAGUUGGGAACUCUAGCGAAACUGCCGGUGCAAACCGAGAGGAAGGUGGGGAUGACGUCAAAUCAUCACGGCCCUUACGUUCUGGGCUACACACGUACUACAAUGCUACGGACAAAGGGCAGCAAGUUCGCGAGGACAAGCAAAUCCCAUAAACCGUGGCUCAGUUCAGAUCGUAGGCUGCAACUCGCCUACGUGAAGGCGGAAUCGCUAGUAAUCG